This 253-nucleotide ribosomal RNA is filed under the name uncultured bacterium. RNAcentral describes it as "partial 16S ribosomal RNA". It matches the Rfam family "Bacterial small subunit ribosomal RNA", at positions 524 to 776 of the family's 1533-position model. The record is from RNAcentral.
UACGUAGGGUGCGAGCGUUAAUCGGAAUUACUGGGCGUAAAGGGUGCGUAGGCGGUUUGAUAAGUCUGAUGUGAAAUCCCCGGGCUUAACCUGGGAACUGCACUUGUGACUGCAAGGCUGGAGUACGGCAGAGGGGGAUGGAAUUCCGCGUGUAGCAGUGAAAUGCGUAGAUAUGCGGAGGAACACCGAUGGCGAAGGCGGCGACCUGGGUCGAGACUGACGCUGAGGCGCGAAAGCGUGGGGAGCAAACAGG